This 1322-nucleotide long non-coding RNA is filed under the name Homo sapiens (human). Its description in RNAcentral is "HSALNT0253781". Lineage: Eukaryota; Metazoa; Chordata; Mammalia; Primates; Hominidae. The record is from RNAcentral.
CCGGGAAGCUCUGGCCACCCGGAGCCUGUCUCGGCAUUUGUACGGGGGAUAAAGAGACGCUUCCUCCAAGGCUGUUUUCUGAAUUCAGCAGUGCUCAGGGCAGCUGCGAUGGAGUCAGCAGCUACACCAGUGCCGGGCUGCUGCCUGGGUGGAGGGUGGAGAGGAAAUGUGAGUCACACAGGACCCCAGAGCCGCCCAGCCAAGCCCUGGCCAUGCCAGCCCGGGAGGCCCGAGGUCCCCACGCAAAUUACCCACCAGAUGAACCCACUCGAUAGAGCCUGGCAUCCCUCUCUCCUCUAGGAAAAAAAUUACAGGAAACUAAAAAGUACACUCAGUUGCGCUUGAAGCCAUCUGAGUUUCAUGAAGCAGCAAGUCCUCCAGGCCCUGGAAAGCUCAGGAGCUGGGAAGAAAGAGGCGUUUUCACUCCAGCACAGGUGCUGAUGCCACAGGAUUCCCAGAAGCCCCCAGCCCAGAUGCACCACUCAGAAGCCCCUCCACCCCCACUUCAUAAAAAUCCAAAUCACUCUGUGUGUAACUAAGUCUUCUGGUUGUUUGGCACCUUUUGAAAAUGACUUUUGAACUUUUCUUAUGACAAAGUCCAUCUUUGGGGUGAGGCCCCGUCCACACCCCACAAAAGGCUGUGGUCCUCUGAAGCUCCCGGGCGCAACAGGCUAUAGUUUGCUUCCCGCCCAGCCCAGGAAGCUCAGAGUCACAACUUCAGCUUCCCUAGGAACUUCCCUGACGCUGUGGAGGCCUUUGGCACUGGCAAGGGGAGGGAGGUUCAGUGACUGUGCUGAGCAGGAGGGACACUGAGGCGCACACGGGGCCAGGAUGUCGCGUUUAAUGACACCCCGAGGGGACGCCAUUUUUGCAGCCGAGGCCAACACAGCCUGCUCCUCUCUUUAUGUCCCGAGAAGCAAGAGGGACUCCAGCCGUCUCCCCCGCGGCCUCCUCCAGGUGGCUGCCCCGCAGCGGUGAGUCCAUGAAAAGCAAAUGGAACGACGGCAUGGAGGCGUCUUUUCCCACCCGUGCCUCGUGGGCCUGUGGGGAACCAUCCUUGCCGGAGCGGCCCCAAGGGGAGCCACGUCUGCGUGGCCAGCCAGGCCCAGCUCAGCAGCUGCCAUGGAGCAGCCUCCACCGCACACCUGGGAGCACCCGCACCCUGCAAUUCCUGCGCAGGUGGGAGCAGAUACGCUUAGACUUCCCCUAAAAGUGCGGGGAACCGACAAACAUCCCUGCCUUCCUCAAAGACCCCGGCUGAGCCAGCGCCUGUGGCCUUCCCUCUUGGAGGUGGGGCCUCUCCCCGUGGUGUCCGACGUCUG